Molecule: ribosomal RNA, 495 nt
Filed under: uncultured bacterium
Lineage: Bacteria
Description: partial 16S ribosomal RNA
Rfam family: Bacterial small subunit ribosomal RNA
Source: RNAcentral
GACGAACGCUGGCGGCGUGCCUAAUACAUGCAAGUAGAACGCUGAAGGAGGAGCUUGCUCUUCUGGAUGAGUUGCGAACGGGUGAGUAACGCGUAGGUAACCUGCCUGGUAGCGGGGGAUAACUAUUGGAAACGAUAGCUAAUACCGCAUAACAGUAGAUGUUGCAUGACAUUUGCUUAAAAGGUGCAAUUGCACCACUACCAGAUGGACCUGCGUUGUAUUAGCUAGUUGGGGGGGUAACGGCUCACCAAGGCGACGAUACAUAGCCGGCCUGAGAGGGGGCUCGGCCACGCUGGGACUGGGACACGGCCCAGAAUCCUACGGGAGGCAGCAGUAGGGAAUCUUCGGCAAUGGACGGAAGUCUGACCGAGCAACGCCGCGUGAGUGAAGAAGGUUUUCGGAUCGUAAAGCUCUGUUGUAAGAGAAGAACGAGUGUGAGAGUGGAAAGUUCACACUGUGACGGUAUCUUACCAGAAAGGGACGGCUAACUACGUG